UACGGCCAUCCCACCCUGGUAACGCCCGAUCUCGUCUGAUCUCGGAAGCUAAGCAGGGUCGGGCCUGGUUAGUACUUGGAUGGGAGACCUCCUGGGAAUACCGGGUGCUGUAGGC
This 115-nucleotide ribosomal RNA is filed under the name Chlamydia abortus. Lineage: Bacteria; Pseudomonadati; Chlamydiota; Chlamydiia; Chlamydiales; Chlamydiaceae. The record is from RNAcentral. RNAcentral also lists the same sequence under 1 other name.